Silurus meridionalis is the source of this 2002-nucleotide long non-coding RNA. RefSeq lists it as uncharacterized. The transcript has 2 exons. NCBI's taxonomy places the organism in Eukaryota, Metazoa, Chordata, Actinopteri, Siluriformes, Siluridae. The record is from RefSeq and is a predicted model, not a curated record.
CUUUCUCUUCUCUCCGUGUGUGUGUGUGUGUGUGUGUGGAGGCCUAACCUGUACCUGUAGAAGGCAGAAUUUCACAUUCGCGUCACUCCACGUUUUUACCCAUUGCACAUGACUGCACGUCAAAAAUACAAACAGCCGCACGUGCCAAGCACCUUGAGUUCAACUUUAUUUUCGAAUAAGACAUUACAUCACUUCCGGGUUUCUUGGCGUUCAGAUCAGUGCUCUGGCAGAGAGAGGAGAGCGCGUGCCUGGGGUGGAAGAGAUGAAGCUUUUCUUCCAGGUGAACCAAAAUGCGCUUCAGGACUGUUGCAGAUGAAGAGAAUACCAUAAGGCCUGCUUUCACUUUUUAUGCACUUGAUUUAGCAGACUACUACGCUUCGAGAUUGAUCACACUCCUCGUACAUGAACACAUCAUCUUUCCAUGUCGUCUUCUCCAAAACGUAUUGGCCGUGUACAGAUUUUUUUUAGAUUUGCACUGUGGAGAAGGAAUGUUCACCUGCAUCCCUAUCCUCCAAGUCCAUGUACUUCCAGGAUUCUGCAAUGUAGAUUACUUCCUCCAGGGAGUCUGGAGAUUAUCCCAGAAACUCAUCCAGCUCAACAGACAGGUCUGGCUCACCUCCAGAAAAAAUAGACCAUAUCAUGCAGAGCUGCAGCCAAGCCAGAAAGCCCAAAAUUAUAUCUGACACUUUGCAUCAUGUCAACUUUUAUACUCUUUUAUACUGCCAGUUUAUCUUUUAUUCCCAAGCCCUUUGCAGAUUGUUUGUUUUUUUUUCCCCCAGCAGCCAUGUUAAAGGCUGUUAAUGUGUUAGUUUGUGUUGUACUGUAUUUGUGCAACACAAUUACUGUGUCCAGUGAAAGCUUUGCAGAUGUGUCUUGCAAACUCUCACCUGCUGUUUGUACAAGCUGCAUUCGUUUCCAGUGCACACUGCCCUAAUUGUUUUGUGUGGGUUUUGCUCUGUGAAGCAGACACGGAGUCAGUAGCUGCCAGGAUAAUUACAGAGCAAGCGCUUUCAAUGAAAGGAAAAGAAGCACUUAGUAAUCCAUGGGUCUGGUGUAAAACAGAAUCUGACGUCGUAGUGUACAGCAAAAUGUAUUAUUCCGACCUGAUUUAAAUGUAAAAGUACAAACAAGGACAUGAUGCUGCACUGGAUACUUUAUUUUAUUCCGUCUGUAUUUUUCCAUUGGGUUCGUUUCCAUUUUCUUUUAGAAUUCAUUCUUAUCUUCCUGAAUGACAUGUCAAAACAGAAUUGGUGAUUGGAUCCUGCACUGAUGCCAGAGAUUGCCUGCUGGCUCAGCGGGAUCUUGGGUCUUCAGUGGUGCGAAUGGGCACAUCUUUGUCUGGCCUUGCCAUUGCUUAGGCGCUCUUUUGGAUGGGAACACAUGUCACACCCAAAAUCACCAUGCCAAGCACCAGCAUACAGGCUCUGGCUGACCGAUGGCAAAGAGCAGAGUGCCCACUGUGAACCUGGUGGCCAUCACCACCUCCACUUGACACAACGCUUGCCAGUUGUCAGAGAUAGAGGGAUCAAAAUGGAGACCAAAAUGUGCACCAUGUUUUAAGACUCUUAAUAGAUAUAAAUGUAUUUGGGAAAGUUCCAACCAAACGUAUUUAUAAACCUGAAUACUUAGAAGGUAUUAUCUUUCUUUCUUUCUUUUAAAAAAUUCUUUUAAAAAAAUUUUUUCUAGCUGAAUUUCCAAUCAGCCAAAUUUCAAACCAUUCACAAAAACAUUUACAGCAUUUGGUAGAUGCUCUUAUUAUGUUGAGGGUUGAGGGCCAUGCUCAAGGGCCCAGCAGUGGCAGCUUGGUGGUGCUGAGAUUUGAACUUGUGACCUUCUGAUUACAAGUCCAGCAUCGUAACCACUGAGCUCUCGCCUCCCAACAAAAUCCAAAGCUAAUAUUAAUUAAGAAUUUUUUUUUAAUUGAAAAAAAGACAAAGUCAUUAAUUUUUUUUAAUGUUUAAAAUGUUGUUGCUUUCUAUGUGGAAUAAAGCACUUAAGCAUA